This 484-nucleotide ribosomal RNA is filed under the name uncultured bacterium. RNAcentral describes it as "partial 16S ribosomal RNA". It matches the Rfam family "Bacterial small subunit ribosomal RNA", at positions 30 to 507 of the family's 1533-position model. The record is from RNAcentral.
AUUGAACGCUGGCGGCAGGCCUAACACAUGCGAGUCGAGCGGAUGAAGGGAGCUUGCUCCUGGAUUCAGCGGCGGACGGGUGAGUAAUGCCUAGGAAUCUGCCUGGUAGUGGGGGAUAACGUCCGGAAACGGGCGCUAAUACCGCAUACGUCCUGAGGGAGAAAGUGGGGGAUCUUCGGACCUCACGCUAUCAGAUGAGCCUAGGUCGGAUUAGCUAGUUGGUGGGGUAAAGGCCUACCAAGGCGACGAUCCGUAACUGGUCUGAGAGGAUGAUCAGUCACACUGGAACUGAGACACGGUCCAGACUCCUACGGGAGGCAGCAGUGGGGAAUAUUGGACAAUGGGCGAAAGCCUGAUCCAGCCAUGCCGCGUGUGUGAAGAAGGUCUUCGGAUUGUAAAUCACUUUAAGUUGGGAGGAAGGGCAGUAAGUUAAUACCUUGCUGUUUUGACGUUACCAACAGAAUAAGCACCGGCUAACUUCGUG